Molecule: long non-coding RNA, 481 nt
Filed under: Pan troglodytes (chimpanzee)
Lineage: Eukaryota; Metazoa; Chordata; Mammalia; Primates; Hominidae
Description: long non-coding RNA NONPTRT003806
Source: RNAcentral
CUCCCAUCUCGGCUUCCCAAAGUGCUGAGAUUACAGCGUGAGCCACUGCACCUGGCCCUUUUUAGGAUGUUCUAUAUGUAAGAUAAUGUCAUUGGCAAACAGAAACAGUUUUACUUUUUUUCUAUUUUCUGCCUUCUAAUCUUUGCCAUCUCUAAUGUAUGUUUCUGUCUUUCUUGCAGAUGGAACAGAUUUGGAGUUGAGGCUGGUCAAUGGAGACGGUCCCUGCUCUGGGACAGUGGAGGUGAAAUUCCAGGGACAGUGGGGAACUGUGUGUGAUGAUGGGUGGAACACUACUGCCUCAACUGUUGUGUGCAAACAGCUUGGAUGUCCAUUUUCUUUCGUCAUGUUUCGUUUUGGACAAGCCGUGACUAGACAUGGAAAAAUUUGGCUUGAUGACCCACAGGCCCCACCUUGAAUACUGGGGAAUCACAUUUCAACCUCAGAUUCGGAGGGGACAAAACAUCCAAACCCUAUCAGGGGA